AUGGUCAAACUUUUCAGUCUGCCGGGCGGUGGCCUGCUCCCUCUCGAGCCGCCCGCCGCUUAUCCCGUCUGCUGCCGCUCGCCGCCUGCCGCCCGCCGCUUAUCCCAUCUCCUGCCGCUCUACCGCCGCCCCAGCGCCUCUAUAAGAUGGCCCCCGGCCUCGCUUAUCCACAAGCGGCCGCGGAGGGGCUCGGCUGCCGAGCCGCCACCAGGGGGCGUACCGGCGAGGGGUUGCGUCCACCUUGCCGUCGAGUGCCUCCUCCCCUCCGGCCGCCCCGAUUCCCUCUUCAUCCUCCAGCUCCAGCCCAACCCCGACACCCCGGACGUCAGGCGGGUCUUCCGUCGCCUAGCCAACCUCCUGGCCCCUCGGCGCGAUCCCCAUCCCCGGCUGACACCGCCCUUCGCGCCGUUGAAGAGGCCUUUGCCCACCUCUUGGAGAGCACCUCCACCAGCGCCGGUUUCGCUCCUGCUGCUCCCGGCGGCGUUUCCGUCUCAGAGAUGUGCUCUGGACGGUCUGCCCCCACUGCUGCCAUGUGCAUGAGUACGAGCGCAUGCUGGUGGGGUGUUUGCUUGGGUGCUCGAACCCCUGGUUCAUGUGCGUGUUCGUGGCUACCUAGCCCGCGCGGCUGCCCUCUCCCUGCUCGCCGGUCGCCGCCGCUCGGGUUGUUCGCGCAGGCUAAGCCACGGAUUGUGUACGAAAUAUUCACAACAAAGCAACGAUCAAACAGAGAUCCAGUUACAGCAAAGAUGCGAAAAUUGAGUAGUCAAUAUAGCAGGUGCAGUGUGAACUCCUGUUUUCCCGUAGUAACUUCAGAAAAAAGUCUCUCUACCUGGGUUAAGAAAUUCAGAACUUUACAGUGAGCAGAAUGUGGACCUUAUAAGGUCUACACAUGCAAGAUUCAGGAAUUGGAAACGGAAGUAACACGGCAGAAGUUCUCCACUGGGCUCAAGGGGAUGAAUUGGUUAACUACAGAGCUCUUCAACAUGGUGGCAACCUGGUGAAGAAAUGAGAGGAAGUGGAAGGAUAGAAGGUACGCUUCUGCAGAAUCCAAGUAAGACUUAGUUCCUUACCUAUGCUUGAACAAAGAGCAGCAGACAACAUGUAUGUUAGUGUUUCAAUUUCAAAUGAUGGAAUUUUAUAUCAUUAAUAGUGGUAACUAAUGAUAAGUAACUUUUAGUUCUGCUAAAAUUAUUUUUCUUUUUUGAAUUUCCUCAAAAUGGAAUAGUAAUGAUUUUAAGCUAAAUAAUGAGUUCUCUUUUUGUGUCGCUGGGUAAUAGAAGGAAUAAGAAGCAAGUUUUAUAUAUUAUAUGGAAUACUUCUUUUAAAUAGCUAUUGAGUUAUGACGUGUAGUUUCUUCUUCGUGUGUAUGUUGUUCUUAUGCUAUUUAAGAUGGUGACUAUUUAGUUUACUAUCAUGCGGUUAAUUCUUCGAAAUUCUUGGUCACUUGCUUAGAUAGAGACAAAUAGUGUAUUCUUUAUUUAUUUUUGUGCUGAGAUCUUCAUUUAUAUGCAGAACCAAACAUGUAGGUAGCCUGAAAGUACAUUUAAAACACAAAUCGCCCUAAGAUAUCCCAGUGUGUGGUUUAACCUGAACAUAUCUUAACUUGCAAAUAAGCAUGAUUUUCUUACAACUUGCUUCUCUGAUGCCCCCCUUAUUUGCCUUCUUAAUCGGUAUACUUGGAGUCCACAUCCAAGAUAAAAGCAUCUUGCUCUGUUCACUCAGGUUCUCAGGAGUAUCUCACAAAUGAGUCAUCAUAGGUGAGAGAUGUCUCAUCCAGCCGGACGAUAUUAUUGACUAUUUAAUAGCAGCUGACCAACAGUUUUGGUAAUUAGAGAAGAAGACAAUUCCACAGAAGCAAAGCCAGUUCAUUGGUAGGGAGCUAAAUUAGCAGGCAUGCUACCUGUACUAAAUACAUGUUGUGCUUCCUGUCCCUUCUGUCCUUCUAUAUAUUGAACUCAUUGGCAUAUGAUGUAACCUGUUAAUAUUCUUAAUGAAAUCACCCGUAAUGGGCAUUUUUCUUAAAGAAAAGAUUACAGUAUACCAUGACUAAGGUUUCAUACAGGAUUGUGUCUCCCUUGGUGUUAUUUGCAACAGCUGAGUAGCUCCGGAGAGUGUCAACGUAUGUGCCCAAACUCAAUAGAACGAGCACUAACGAUAGCAGAACUUGAAAAAUCCAGGAGAUGGCUGCUCUCACCAUAUAGUUCAAAGGUUCACUAUCCAAUGAUGCUAUUUAUGUUUAGGGUACUUACUGUAUAACUGGUUAUAACAGAUAUGUUGUUUUAUGAUGACAUAUCUUUAGGAAAGAACAUUCAAAUAGAGAAAUUUUGCUGUGUUAGAUUUUUAUUAUUACCAAGUAUACGAGUUUGCUCUAUCUGGUUGUCUCAAAGUAUUACAGUUAUACGUGAAUAUGAUAAUCAAUUGCAUGUUUGUGAAGAACAGAGGCCUGUAAGUGUGGCGGUAUGGCCUCUUUCUAGAGACAUACUUGACUGCUUAUUAAGUUGUGGGUUGUUUUUUGACAGAUAUAUUUUCUCACUUUCUUACAACAACUUAGUCUCCAGUUAUUGUACAAGUCUGGUGCGCAAGUGUUGUUUCGUUCCAUCUUCAGUUUGAUUAUUGUUGUUUUUUUUGGCGAGAGAAGUUCCCAUCUAUUCAUCAACUGUCAAGGCAGUACAAUUCUUAUUUUUAUUUUUAAAACAGGAUUCCUAGAUCAAAAUUUCUGGGCUGGGACAAGAAAAUGAACAUGCUUCAGUCUCCAGAAUGUAAUAGAUUCAAUAAGGACUGAUUGCAUGGUUUGGGAGAAACUUGGUGCGUUCAGUUCAAUAUAAGGAAAAGCAUGAGAAGGUUGCCUUCACGUAUCGACGAGGCGCGGCGUGCCGCCGCGCGGGUACAUGCUAGUCAUAUGCUAAUACAAUUGUAUUGAAAUGUGUCUUCCUAAUGGAUGGUGGAUACAAUUCUAGACCAAAUAGUGCAAUACUUUUGCGUACUUGCCAUAACUUACCCAUGGUAAUGCCUUAAAUAUAUGUGAUGGUAGGGAGACAAGGAGCAAUUUUUACUGUACUGACUCGAGUACAUCAAGAAUGAAGAUGCACCCAAGAUUUAUGUACGAGAAGUUUUAAACAUAAUAGUAGUCACAGCGUGUGUUGCACGUGCAUGUUUACU
RNAcentral lists this ribosomal RNA (3159 nucleotides) under Triticum aestivum (bread wheat). Its description in RNAcentral is "partial small subunit ribosomal RNA". The record is from RNAcentral. Lineage: Eukaryota; Viridiplantae; Streptophyta; Magnoliopsida; Poales; Poaceae.